This 881-nucleotide ribosomal RNA is filed under the name uncultured Marivirga sp. RNAcentral describes it as "bacterial SSU rRNA". It matches the Rfam family "Bacterial small subunit ribosomal RNA", at positions 88 to 969 of the family's 1533-position model. The record is from RNAcentral. Lineage: Bacteria; Pseudomonadati; Bacteroidota; Cytophagia; Cytophagales; Marivirgaceae.
UAGUUCAGUGGCGCACGGGUGCGUAACGCGUAUGCAACCUACCUUAAACUGGGGGAUAGCCUUCCGAAAGGGAGAUUAAUACCGCAUAAUACUAUUUGAGGGCAUCUGAGGAUAGUUAAAGAUUUAUUGGUUUAAGAUGGGCAUGCGUGCCAUUAGCUAGUUGGUAGGGUAACGGCCUACCAAGGCGACGAUGGCUAGGGGUUCUGAGAGGAUGAUCCCCCACACUGGCACUGAGAUACGGGCCAGACUCCUACGGGAGGCAGCAGUAGGGAAUAUUGGGCAAUGGGCGAAAGCCUGACCCAGCCAUGCCGCGUGCAGGAAGAAGGCCUUCUGGGUUGUAAACUGCUUUUAUCUGGGAAGAAAAAGCCCCUGCGGGGGAAACUGACGGUACCAGAGGAAUAAGCACCGGCUAACUCCGUGCCAGCAGCCGCGGUAAUACGGAGGGUGCAAGCGUUGUCCGGAUUUAUUGGGUUUAAAGGGUGCGUAGGCGGCUCUUUAAGUCAGUGGUGAAAGCCCCCAGCUCAACUGGAGAACUGCCAUUGAUACUGCCGGGCUUGAGUACAGACGAGGUUGGCGGAAUUGAUAGUGUAGCGGUGAAAUGCAUAGAUACUAUCAAGAACUCCGAUUGCGUAGGCAGCUAACUAGGCUGUAACUGACGCUGAGGCACGAAAGCGUGGGGAGCGAACAGGAUUAGAUACCCUGGUAGUCCACGCUGUAAACGAUGAUGACUCGAUGUUGGCGAUAAACUGUCAGCGUCUAAGCGAAAGCGUUAAGUCAUCCACCUGGGGAGUACGCCCGCAAGGGUGAAACUCAAAGGAAUUGAGGGGGGCCCGCACAAGCNGGUGGAGCAUGUGGUUUAAUUCNAUGAUACGCCGAGGAAC